GACGAACGCUGGCGGCGUGCCUAAUACAUGCAAGUCGAGCGAAGUUUUUCUGGUGCUUGCACUAGAAACACUUAGCGGCGAACGGGUGAGUAACACGUAAAGAACCUGCCUCAUAGACUGGGACAACUAUUGGAAACGAUAGCUAAUACCGGAUAACAGCAUUACCUGCAUGGUUGAUGUUUAAAAGUUUGUUUUGCUAACACUAUGAGAUGGCUUUGCGGUGCAUUAGCUAGUUGGUGGGGUAAAGGCCUACCAAGGCGACGAUGCAUAGCCGACCUGAGAGGGUGAUCGGCCACACUGGGACUGAGACACGGCCCAGACUCCUACGGGAGGCAGCAGUAGGGAAUCUUCCGCAAUGGGCGAAAGCCUGACGGAGCAACGCCGCGUGAGUGAAGAAGGAUUUCGGUUCGUAAAGCUCUGUUGUUAGGGAAGAAUGAUUGUGUAGUAACUAUACACAGUAGAGACGGUACCUAACCAGAAAGCCACGGCUAACUACGUG
Molecule: ribosomal RNA, 499 nt
Filed under: uncultured bacterium
Lineage: Bacteria
Description: partial 16S ribosomal RNA
Rfam family: Bacterial small subunit ribosomal RNA
Source: RNAcentral